Molecule: ribosomal RNA, 492 nt
Filed under: uncultured bacterium
Lineage: Bacteria
Description: partial 16S ribosomal RNA
Rfam family: Bacterial small subunit ribosomal RNA
Source: RNAcentral
AGUGAACGCUGGCGGUAGGCCUAACACAUGCAAGUCGAACGGCAGCACAGUAAGAGCUUGCUCUUACGGGUGGCGAGUGGCGGACGGGUGAGGAAUACAUCGGAAUCUACUUUUUCGUGGGGGAUAACGUAGGGAAACUUACGCUAAUACCGCAUACGACCUACGGGGGAAAGCAGGGGAUCUUCGGACCUUGCGCGGUUGGAUGAGCCGAUGUCGGAUUAGCUAGUUGGCGGGGUAAAGGCCCACCAAGGCGACGAUCCGUAGCUGGUCUGAGAGGAUGAUCAGCCACACUGGAACUGAGACACGGUCCAGACUCCUACGGGAGGCAGCAGUGGGGAAUAUUGGACAAUGGGCGCAAGCCUGAUCCAGCCAUACCGCGUGGGUGAAGAAGGCCUUCGGGUUGUAAAGCCCUUUUGUUGGGAAAGAAAAGCAGCAGGUUAAUACCCCGCUGUUCUGACGGUACCCAAAGAAUAAGCACCGGCUAACUUCGUG